CGCGCAGGCGGCCAGGUCAGUCGAAUGUGAAAGCCCCCGGCUCAACUGGGGAAGGUCGUUCGAUACUGCUUGGCUCGAAGAUAGGAGAGGGAAGUGGAAUUUCAGGUGUAGUGGUGAAAUGCGUAGAUAUCUGAAGGAACACCAGUGGCGAAGGCGACUUUCUGGCCUAUUCUUGACGCUGAGGCGCGAAAGCUAGGGGAGCGAACG
This 207-nucleotide ribosomal RNA is filed under the name uncultured bacterium. Its description in RNAcentral is "partial 16S ribosomal RNA". It matches the Rfam family "Bacterial small subunit ribosomal RNA", at positions 568 to 774 of the family's 1533-position model. The record is from RNAcentral.